This 1420-nucleotide ribosomal RNA is filed under the name Staphylococcus aureus. Its description in RNAcentral is "partial 23S ribosomal RNA". It matches the Rfam family "Bacterial large subunit ribosomal RNA", at positions 1 to 1423 of the family's 2925-position model. The record is from RNAcentral. Lineage: Bacteria; Bacillati; Bacillota; Bacilli; Caryophanales; Staphylococcaceae.
GAUUAAGUUAUUAAGGGCGCACGGUGGAUGCCUUGGCACUAGAAGCCGAUGAAGGACGUUACUAACGACGAUAUGCUUUGGGGAGCUGUAAGUAAGCUUUGAUCCAGAGAUUUCCGAAUGGGGAAACCCAGCAUGAGUUAUGUCAUGUUAUCGAUAUGUGAAUACAUAGCAUAUCAGAAGGCACACCCGGAGAACUGAAACAUCUUAGUACCCGGAGGAAGAGAAAGAAAAUUCGAUUCCCUUAGUAGCGGCGAGCGAAAUGGGAAGAGCCCAAACCAACAAGCUUGCUUGUUGGGGUUGUAGGACACUCUAUACGGAGUUACAAAGGACGACAUUAGACGAAUCAUCUGGAAAGAUGAAUCAAAGAAGGUAAUAAUCCUGUAGUCGAAAAUGUUGUCUCUCUUGAGUGGAUCCUGAGUACGACGGAGCACGUGAAAUUCCGUCGGAAUCUGGGAGGACCAUCUCCUAAGGCUAAAUACUCUCUAGUGACCGAUAGUGAACCAGUACCGUGAGGGAAAGGUGAAAAGCACCCCGGAAGGGGAGUGAAAUAGAACCUGAAACCGUGUGCUUACAAGUAGUCAGAGCCCGUUAAUGGGUGAUGGCGUGCCUUUUGUAGAAUGAACCGGCGAGUUACGAUUUGAUGCAAGGUUAAGCAGUAAAUGUGGAGCCGUAGCGAAAGCGAGUCUGAAUAGGGCGUUUAGUAUUUGGUCGUAGACCCGAAACCAGGUGAUCUACCCUUGGUCAGGUUGAAGUUCAGGUAACACUGAAUGGAGGACCGAACCGACUUACGUUGAAAAGUGAGCGGAUGAACUGAGGGUAGCGGAGAAAUUCCAAUCGAACCUGGAGAUAGCUGGUUCUCUCCAAAAUAGCUUUAGGGCUAGCCUCAAGUGAUGAUUAUUGGAGGUAGAGCACUGUUUGGACGAGGGGCCCCUCUCGGGUUACCGAAUUCAGACAAACUCCGAAUGCCAAUUAAUUUAACUUGGGAGUCAGAACAUGGGUGAUAAGGUCCGUGUUCGAAAGGGAAACAGCCCAGACCACCAGCUAAGGUCCCAAAAUAUAUGUUAAGUGGAAAAGGAUGUGGCGUUGCCCAGACAACUAGGAUGUUGGCUUAGAAGCAGCCAUCAUUUAAAGAGUGCGUAAUAGCUCACUAGUCGAGUGACACUGCGCCGAAAAUGUACCGGGGCUAAACAUAUUACCGAAGCUGUGGAUUGUCCUUUGGACAAUGGUAGGAGAGCGUUCUAAGGGCGUUGAAGCAUGAUCGUAAGGACAUGUGGAGCGCUUAGAAGUGAGAAUGCCGGUGUGAGUAGCGAAAGACGGGUGAGAAUCCCGUCCACCGAUUGACUAAGGUUUCCAGAGGAAGGCUCGUCCGCUCUGGGUUAGUCGGGUCCUAAGCUGAGGCCGACAGGCGUAGGCGAUGGAU